This 1137-nucleotide ribosomal RNA is filed under the name Limosilactobacillus fermentum. RNAcentral's name for it is "bacterial SSU rRNA". It matches the Rfam family "Bacterial small subunit ribosomal RNA", at positions 47 to 1159 of the family's 1533-position model. Lineage: Bacteria; Bacillati; Bacillota; Bacilli; Lactobacillales; Lactobacillaceae. The record is from RNAcentral.
CCUAAUACAUGCAAGUCGAACGCGUUGGCCCAAUUGAUUGAUGGUGCUUGCACCUGAUUGAUUUUGGUCGCCAACGAGUGGCGGACGGGUGAGUAACACGUAGGUAACCUGCCCAGAAGCGGGGGACAACAUUUGGAAACAGAUGCUAAUACCGCAUAACAACGUUGUUCGCAUGAACAACGCUUAAAAGAUGGCUUCUCGCUAUCACUUCUGGAUGGACCUGCGGUGCAUUAGCUUGUUGGUGGGGUAAUGGCCUACCAAGGCGAUGAUGCAUAGCCGAGUUGAGAGACUGAUCGGCCACAAUGGGACUGAGACACGGCCCAUACUCCUACGGGAGGCAGCAGUAGGGAAUCUUCCACAAUGGGCGCAAGCCUGAUGGAGCAACACCGCGUGAGUGAAGAAGGGUUUCGGCUCGUAAAGCUCUGUUGUUAAAGAAGAACACGUAUGAGAGUAACUGUUCAUACGUUGACGGUAUUUAACCAGAAAGUCACGGCUAACUACGUGCCAGCAGCCGCGGUAAUACGUAGGUGGCAAGCGUUAUCCGGAUUUAUUGGGCGUAAAGAGAGUGCAGGCGGUUUUCUAAGUCUGAUGUGAAAGCCUUCGGCUUAACCGGAGAAGUGCAUCGGAAACUGGAUAACUUGAGUGCAGAAGAGGGUAGUGGAACUCCAUGUGUAGCGGUGGAAUGCGUAGAUAUAUGGAAGAACACCAGUGGCGAAGGCGGCUACCUGGUCUGCAACUGACGCUGAGACUCGAAAGCAUGGGUAGCGAACAGGAUUAGAUACCCUGGUAGUCCAUGCCGUAAACGAUGAGUGCUAGGUGUUGGAGGGUUUCCGCCCUUCAGUGCCGGAGCUAACGCAUUAAGCACUCCGCCUGGGGAGUACGACCGCAAGGUUGAAACUCAAAGGAAUUGACGGGGGCCGCACAAGCGGUGCAGCAUGUGGUUUAAUUCUAAGCUACGCGAAGAACCUUACCAGGUCUUGACUUCUUGCGCCAACCCUAAAAAAAGGGCGUUUCCUUCGGGAACCCAAUAACAGAGGAGCAUGGUCGCCGCAACUCCUUCCUCGCAAGGUGGGUUAGUCCCCCACCACCGCACCCUUGUACAAAUGCCACAUUACUCGGGGGGGAACACCCGGAGAA